UCGCCGGUUUUCCGCUGCCCGUCGCACAGC
Molecule: small RNA, 30 nt
Filed under: Bombyx mori (domestic silkworm)
Lineage: Eukaryota; Metazoa; Arthropoda; Insecta; Lepidoptera; Bombycidae
Description: ovarian small RNA-28706
Source: RNAcentral